RNAcentral lists this ribosomal RNA (406 nucleotides) under uncultured bacterium. Its description in RNAcentral is "partial 16S ribosomal RNA". It matches the Rfam family "Bacterial small subunit ribosomal RNA", at positions 28 to 526 of the family's 1533-position model. The record is from RNAcentral.
GAUGAACGCUAGCUACAGGCUUAACACAUGCAAGUCGAGGGACCGGCGCAAGGGUAAGUAACACGUAUCCAACCUACCCUUUACUCGGGGAUAGCCUUUCGAAAGCAAGAUUAAUACCCUAUAUAAAGGAUGGGGAUGCGUUCCAUUAUGUUGUUGGUGAGGUAACGGCUCACCAAGCCUUCGAUGGAUAGGGGUUAUGAGAGGAAGGUCCACCACAUUGGAACUGCGGCACGGUCCAAAAUGCUACGGGAGGGAGCAGUGAGGAAUAUUGGUCAAUGGGCGCUAGUCUGAACCAGCCAAGUAGCGUGAAGGAUGAAGGCUUAUGGGUCGUAAACUUCUUUUAUAUAAGAAGAGGUAUUAUAUGAAUAAGCAUCGGCUAACUCCGUGCCAGCAGCCGCGGUAAUUC